RNAcentral lists this transfer RNA (86 nucleotides) under Acidimicrobiaceae bacterium. Its description in RNAcentral is "tRNA-Leu". It matches the Rfam family "tRNA". From Rfam's summary of the family: Transfer RNA (tRNA) molecules are approximately 80 nucleotides in length. The record is from RNAcentral. Lineage: Bacteria; Bacillati; Actinomycetota; Acidimicrobiia; Acidimicrobiales; Acidimicrobiaceae.
GUCGAAGUGGCGAAAUGGCAGACGCGUCAGCUUGAGGGGCUGGUGCCCUUAUGGGCGUGCGGGUUCAAGUCCCGCCUUCGACACCA